UACGUAGGGCGCGAGCGUUGUCCGGAAUUAUUGGGCGUAAAGAGCUCGUAGGCGGUCUGUUGCGUCGGCUGUGAAAACCCGGGGCUCAACUCCGGGCCUGCAGCCGAUACGGGCAGACUAGAGUUCGGCAGGGGAGACUGGAAUUCCUGGUGUAGCGGUGAAAUGCGCAGAUAUCAGGAGGAACACCGGUGGCAAAGGCGGCAUCCUGGACCAACACUGACGCUGAGUGAGCGAAAGCCAGGGGAGCAAACGGG
RNAcentral lists this ribosomal RNA (254 nucleotides) under uncultured bacterium. Its description in RNAcentral is "partial 16S ribosomal RNA". It matches the Rfam family "Bacterial small subunit ribosomal RNA", at positions 524 to 776 of the family's 1533-position model. The record is from RNAcentral.